CAUAAAGAUCUAAAGGAGGAUUCUUACUUGGAACGAUUGCUUUGCUUGUGUUUUCUUUCUGAAAAACAAUAAAAUGUUAAUGAUUGAAUAAUUUAAUGUUUAUACUAAAAAUAUUAGUAAGUAUUGAACAACUUACUUCCAUAGAAGCGAAACGCUCUAAUAAUUGUGUUUUUUUUCAAUGCUUUCAUAUUUUUGUUAACGACCUCUAAUUCCUUUGUAGCGGCCUCUUUAACACAAAGAUCGAAUUUUUUUCUCUUCCUUUCGAUUUCUUCUUUCGUUUGUCGAUAUUUUAUAUUCUUCGAUUUCUUUGUUUGUGAAAGCAUUAAUGAAUCGUCAUCCGGUUUUAUUCCGAGAAUACGUACGUCCCUUUGUCUUUCCUCCUGUAGCCUUCAUCCAAGCUUCCAAACUAUCUCUUGUGGCUGUGAAUAAUGGCUUUUUCCUCAUGUAGAAGGUCGAUCAUUGAGUCGAAAUGUCUUCUUCAUCUGUUU
Molecule: long non-coding RNA, 488 nt
Filed under: Zostera marina
Lineage: Eukaryota; Viridiplantae; Streptophyta; Magnoliopsida; Alismatales; Zosteraceae
Description: long non-coding RNA (ZMAR_LNC002045)
Source: RNAcentral